CUGGUGGUUGGCGUUGUUGUUGGCCAGUUGCUGAGUGGUCAGCUGAAAAAAUUGGGUCUAGGCGACCAACAGUUGAUGCAUGGUUGCAGCAUUCCCUUCUGCUUCAGCGUUGUUAGCCUCGGCGUUGUUAGCGGGGUUCUGGCGUCUUGGAGGCAUCUGUUUAGGGUAGCAUAGAUGAGGAAUAAUAGACAGAAUAGAGCUAAGGAUGUCUAAGCCCCCACAAAACCAGAUAUUAACACAAGCAUAACUCAAUCAUACACUCAAUCAUUCAUAAAAAGGUUUUGAAAGAGAUAGCAAAUCACACUUGUUCAUGAUGGGACAUUGCCCAUAAAUCAAAAAGUACGGAAUGCAAUCGAUCUACAUUGCCAUACACAUAGAUUGUAUGGUCGAUGACUAACUCAUAAAACUGAUAACAAAAAAAAAACUGAUAAAGACUGGCAGCAUCGAG
RNAcentral lists this long non-coding RNA (448 nucleotides) under Brachypodium distachyon (stiff brome). RNAcentral's name for it is "long non-coding RNA (BDIS_LNC004322)". Lineage: Eukaryota; Viridiplantae; Streptophyta; Magnoliopsida; Poales; Poaceae. The record is from RNAcentral.